AACGCACAUUGCGCCCCUUGGUAUUCCGAGGGGCAUGCCUGUUCGAGCGUCAUUAUAACCACUCAAGCCUAGCUUGGUAUUGGGGUUCGCGUGCUCGCGGCCCUUAAAAUCAGUGGCGGUGCCGUCUGGCUCUAAGCGUAGUAAUUCUCUCGCUAUAGAGUCCCGGCGGUUACCUGCCAGAACCCCCCACUUUUAAGGUUGACCUCGGAUCAGGUAGGGAUACCCGCUGAACUUAA
This 236-nucleotide unclassified non-coding RNA is filed under the name Hyaloscypha sp. RNAcentral's name for it is "partial contains 5.8S ribosomal RNA, internal transcribed spacer 2, and large subunit ribosomal RNA". The stretch from base 1 to 52 matches the Rfam family "5.8S ribosomal RNA", at positions 103 to 154 of the family's 154-position model. Lineage: Eukaryota; Fungi; Ascomycota; Leotiomycetes; Helotiales; Hyaloscyphaceae. The record is from RNAcentral. RNAcentral also lists the same sequence under 2 other names.